AACGAACGCUGGCGGCAUGCCUAACACAUGCAAGUCGAACGAGACCUUCGGGUCUAGUGGCGCAAGGGUGCGUAACGCGUGGGAACCUGCCCUUAGGUUCGGAAUAACUCCCCGAAAGGGGUGCUAAUACCGGAUAAUGUCUUCGGACCAAAGAUUUAUCGCCUUUGGAUGGGCCCGCGUUGGAUUAGCUAGUUGGUAGGUUAAAAGCCUACCAAGGCGACGAUCCAUAGCUGGUCUGAGAGGAUGAUCAGCCACACUGGGACUGAGACACGGCCCAGACUCCUACGGGAGGCAGCAGUGGGGAAUAUUGGACAAUGGGCGAGAGCCUGAGCCAGCAAUGCCGCGUGAGUGAUGAAGGCCUUAGGGUUGUAAAGCUCUUUUACCCGGGAUGAUAAUGACAGUACCGGGAGAAUAAGCUCCGGCUAACUCCGUG
Molecule: ribosomal RNA, 433 nt
Filed under: uncultured bacterium
Lineage: Bacteria
Description: partial 16S ribosomal RNA
Rfam family: Bacterial small subunit ribosomal RNA
Source: RNAcentral